RNAcentral lists this ribosomal RNA (717 nucleotides) under Brevibacterium sp. TSASRA030. RNAcentral describes it as "bacterial SSU rRNA". It matches the Rfam family "Bacterial small subunit ribosomal RNA", at positions 96 to 822 of the family's 1533-position model. The record is from RNAcentral. Lineage: Bacteria; Bacillati; Actinomycetota; Actinomycetes; Micrococcales; Brevibacteriaceae.
UGGCGACGGGUGAGUAACACGUGAGUAACCUGCCCCUGACUUCGGGAUAAGCCCGGGAAACUGGGUCUAAUACCGGAUACGACUGCCGGACGCAUGUCUGGUGGUGGAAAGUUUUUUCGGUUGGGGAUGGGCUCGCGGCCUAUCAGUUUGUUGGUGAGGUAAUGGCUCACCAAGACGACGACGGGUAGCCGGCCUGAGAGGGCGACCGGCCACACUGGGACUGAGACACGGCCCAGACUCCUACGGGAGGCAGCAGUGGGGAAUAUUGCACAAUGGGGGAAACCCUGAUGCAGCGACGCAGCGUGCGGGAUGACGGCCUUCGGGUUGUAAACCGCUUUCAGCAGGGAAGAAGCGCAAGUGACGGUACCUGCAGAAGAAGUACCGGCUAACUACGUGCCAGCAGCCGCGGUAAUACGUAGGGUACGAGCGUUGUCCGGAAUUAUUGGGCGUAAAGAGCUCGUAGGUGGUUGGUCACGUCUGCUGUGGAAACGCAACGCUUAACGUUGCGCGUGCAGUGGGUACGGGCUGACUAGAGUGCAGUAGGGGAGUCUGGAAUUCCUGGUGUAGCGGUGAAAUGCGCACAUAUCAGGAGGAACACCGGGUGGCGAAGGCGGGGACUCUGGGCUGUAACUGACUCUGAGGAGCGAAAGCAUGGGGGAGCGAACAGGGAUUAGAUACCCCUGGUAGUCCAUGCCCGUAAACGUUGGGCACUAGGCU